UACGGGGGGAGCAAGCGUUGUUCGGAUUUACUGGGCGUAAAGGGCGCGUAGGCGGCCAGCACAGGUCAGUUGUGAAAUCUCCGAGCUUAACUCGGAACGGUCAACUGAUACUGUGCGGCUAGAGUGCAGAAGGGGCAACUGGAAUUCUUGGUGUAGCGGUGAAAUGCGUAGAUAUCAAGAGGAACACCUGCGGCGAAGGCGGGUUGCUGGGCUGACACUGACGCUGAGGCGCGAAAGCUAGGGGAGCGAACGGG
This 254-nucleotide ribosomal RNA is filed under the name uncultured bacterium. RNAcentral's name for it is "partial 16S ribosomal RNA". It matches the Rfam family "Bacterial small subunit ribosomal RNA", at positions 524 to 776 of the family's 1533-position model. The record is from RNAcentral.